RNAcentral lists this ribosomal RNA (497 nucleotides) under uncultured bacterium. RNAcentral describes it as "partial 16S ribosomal RNA". It matches the Rfam family "Bacterial small subunit ribosomal RNA", at positions 28 to 507 of the family's 1533-position model. The record is from RNAcentral.
GAUGAACGCUGGCGGCGUGCCUAAUACAUGCAAGUCGAGCGAACAGACGAGGAGCUUGCUCCUCUGACGUUAGCGGCGGACGGGUGAGUAACACGUGGAUAACCUACCUAUAAGACUGGGAUAACUUCGGGAAACCGGAGCUAAUACCGGAUAAUAUAUUGAACCGCAUGGUUCAAUAGUGAAAGACGGUUUUGCUGUCACUUAUAGAUGGAUCCGCGCCGCAUUAGCUAGUUGGUAAGGUAACGGCUUACCAAGGCAACGAUGCGUAGCCGACCUGAGAGGGUGAGCGGCCACACGGUAUCUGAGACACGGUACCGACGCCUACGGGAGGCAGCAGGAUGGAGUCUUCCUCAAUGGUCGAAAGCGUGACGGAGCAACGCCGCGUGAGUGAUGAAGGUCUUCGGAUCCUAAAACUCUGUUAUUAGGGAAGAACAAAUGUGUAAGUAACUAUGCACGUCUUGACGGGACCUAAUCAGAAAGCCACGGCUAACUACGUC